RNAcentral lists this ribosomal RNA (420 nucleotides) under bacterium. RNAcentral's name for it is "partial 16S ribosomal RNA". It matches the Rfam family "Bacterial small subunit ribosomal RNA", at positions 355 to 776 of the family's 1533-position model. The record is from RNAcentral. RNAcentral also lists the same sequence under 1 other name.
UGGGGGAUAUUGCACAAUGGGCGAAAGCCUGAUGCAGCGACGCCGCGUGGGGGAUGAAGGCUUUCGGGUUGUAAACCUCUUUCGCUAUCGAACAAGGCCCGCUUAGGGUGGGUUGAGGGUAGGUGGAGAAGAAGCGCCGGCUAACUACGUGCCAGCAGCCGCGGUAAUACGUAGGGCGCGAGCGUUGUCCGGAAUUAUCGGGCGUAAAGGGCUUGUAGGCGGCUUGUUGCGCCUGCUGUGAAAACGCGGGGCUUAACUUCGCGCGUGCAGUGGGUACGGGCAGGCUUGAGUGUGGUAGGGGUGACUGGAAUUCCAGGUGUAGCGGUGGAAUGCGCAGAUAUCUGGAGGAACACCGAUGGCGAAGGCAGGUCACUGGGCCAUUACUGACGCUGAGGAGCGAAAGCAUGGGUAGCGAACAGG